This 206-nucleotide ribosomal RNA is filed under the name uncultured bacterium. RNAcentral's name for it is "partial 16S ribosomal RNA". It matches the Rfam family "Bacterial small subunit ribosomal RNA", at positions 568 to 774 of the family's 1533-position model. The record is from RNAcentral.
AGUGUAGGCGGUCAAGCAAGUCAGGGGUGAAAGGCAUCGGCUCAACCGAUGUAAGCCUUCGAAACUGUUUGACUUGAGUGCAGGAGAGGUAAGUGGAAUUCCUAGUGUAGCGGUGAAAUGCGUAGAUAUUAGGAGGAACACCAGUGGCGAAGGCGACUUACUGGACUGUAACUGACGCUGAGGCUCGAAAGCGUGGGGAGCGAACA